Paramisgurnus dabryanus is the source of this 273-nucleotide long non-coding RNA. RefSeq lists it as uncharacterized. The record is from RefSeq and is a predicted model, not a curated record. NCBI's taxonomy places the organism in Eukaryota, Metazoa, Chordata, Actinopteri, Cypriniformes, Cobitidae.
GUCUGGGCUGUGUUUGGACGGCUAUUGGACGUCUUUAAAAUGCAGAAAUGCUUGCUGGAAUUCAUCAGGUGAUGAGAGAACCAAUGGGGACAGUCUACUAAUGCAAACCACUUCGAAACUUAAGGGACAUAAUUGACUGUGACACUCAAGAUGGCUAUCAGACAACCUGUGAAGUGACAUUGAGUGCUAUUGUGAUCACCGCACAAGUCAUGUGGAAUUUCCUGUAAGAUGGCCAUUGUGACGUAAAACGCCUCGAGUGUCAAAGGAACCUGA